AAGUAGGGGAUCGCAAGACCUUGCGCUUUUGGAGCGGCCGAUGUCUGAUUAGCUAGUUGGUGAGGUAAAGGCUUACCAAGGCUUCGAUCAGUAGCUGGUCUGAGAGGACGACCAGCCACACUGGGACUGAGACACGGCCCAGACUCCUACGGGAGGCAGCAGUGGGGAAUUUUGGACAAUGGGGGAAACCCUGAUCCAGCCAUGCCGCGUGAGUGAAGAAGGCCUUCGGGUUGUAAAGCUCUUUCAGCCGGAACGAAAAGGUUACGGUUAAUACCCGUGACUAAU
This 285-nucleotide ribosomal RNA is filed under the name uncultured bacterium. RNAcentral describes it as "partial 16S ribosomal RNA". It matches the Rfam family "Bacterial small subunit ribosomal RNA", at positions 194 to 477 of the family's 1533-position model. The record is from RNAcentral.